ACCCCUCAGAAGAAUUUACAGACUUGAUCUGCUUUUUGAUUUUUUGCAACAAUAUUCUUCUAGCAAAGCAUCUUGGUUUCUCUCUGGCUUGAAAGGAAUAGGCCACACCAUGGAAAACAUUCGUUCAGCCAUUGAAAUUGGGAAGAAUUUGUGUGAUUUAACUGGACCAUGGAUUGAAUAUCACAAUAACCUUGAUACUAACAUGGAAACUCUCAAAAGGAAGACAGAGCAAUUGAAU
This is a non-coding RNA of Camellia sinensis, 238 nucleotides long. The record is from RefSeq and is a predicted model, not a curated record. NCBI's taxonomy places the organism in Eukaryota, Viridiplantae, Streptophyta, Magnoliopsida, Ericales, Theaceae.